CUACGGGUUGCUCCAGUGAGGAAUUUUGGGCAAUGGGGGCAACCCUGACCCAGCGACGCCGCGUGCAGGAUGACGGCCCUUCGGGUUGUAAACUGCUUUCACGUAAGAAGAAAAGCCGUAUGAACGGCUGGGACAGUAUUACGAUAAGAAGCACCGGCUAACUACGUGCCAGCAGCCGCGGUAAUACGUAGGGUGCAAGCGUUAUCCGGAAUUACUGGGUGUAAAGGGUGUGUAGGCGGACUUGUGCGUCGGAAGUUAAAGACCCGGGCUUAACUCGGGAGCUGCUUUCGAUACGGCAAGCCUUGAAUGUGAGAGAGGAUGAUGGAAUUCCUGGUGUAGCGGUGAAAUGCGUAGAUAUCAGGAGGAACACCAGUAGCGAAGGCGGUCAUCUGGCUCAUCAUUGACGCUGAGGCACGAAAGCGUGGGGAGCGAACAGGAUUAGAUACCCGAGUAGUC
RNAcentral lists this ribosomal RNA (456 nucleotides) under uncultured bacterium. Its description in RNAcentral is "partial 16S ribosomal RNA". It matches the Rfam family "Bacterial small subunit ribosomal RNA", at positions 339 to 795 of the family's 1533-position model. The record is from RNAcentral.